This 72-nucleotide transfer RNA is filed under the name Dipodomys ordii (Ord's kangaroo rat). It matches the Rfam family "tRNA". Rfam says of the family: Transfer RNA (tRNA) molecules are approximately 80 nucleotides in length. Their secondary structure includes four short double-helical elements and three loops (D, anti-codon, and T loops). Further hydrogen bonds mediate the characteristic L-shaped molecular structure. tRNAs have two regions of fundamental functional importance: the anti-codon, which is responsible for specific mRNA codon recognition, and the 3' end, to which the tRNAs corresponding amino acid is attached (by aminoacyl-tRNA synthetases). tRNAs cope with the degeneracy of the genetic code in two manners: having more than one tRNA (with a specific anti-codon) for a particular amino acid; and 'wobble' base-pairing, i.e. permitting non-standard base-pairing at the 3rd anti-codon position. Lineage: Eukaryota; Metazoa; Chordata; Mammalia; Rodentia; Heteromyidae. The record is from Rfam by way of RNAcentral.
UGGGAUGUAGCUUGGUGGUAGAGUGCUUGCCUAGCAUGCACAUGGCCCUGGGUUCAACCCCCAACAUUGCAG